UUGAACGCUGGCGGAAUGCUUUACACAUGCAAGUCGCACGAUGAACCUUAGCUUGCUAAGGGGAUUAGUGGCGAACGGGUGAGUAAUAUAUCGGAACGUGCCUUGUAAUGGGGGAUAACUAGUCGAAAGAUUAGCUAAUACCGCAUACGCCCUGAGGGGGAAAGUAGGGGAUCUUCGGACCUUACGUUAUAAGAGCGGCCGAUAUCUGAUUAGCUAGUUGGUGGGGUAAUGGCCUACCAAGGCGACGAUCAGUAGCUGGUCUGAGAGGACGACCAGCCACACUGGAACUGAGACACGGUCCAGACUCCUACGGGAGGCAGCAGUGGGGAAUUUUGGACAAUGGGCGCAAGCCUGAUCCAGCCAUUCCGCGUGAGUGAAGAAGGCCUUCGGGUUGUAAAGCUCUUUCGCAAGGGAAGAAAACUUACCAUCGAAUAAAUGGUGAGGCUGACGGUACCUUGAUAAGAAGCACCGGCUAACUACGUG
This 483-nucleotide ribosomal RNA is filed under the name uncultured bacterium. RNAcentral describes it as "partial 16S ribosomal RNA". It matches the Rfam family "Bacterial small subunit ribosomal RNA", at positions 30 to 507 of the family's 1533-position model. The record is from RNAcentral.